CAAACGGCUCUUUUCAGAGCCACCCUAAGGGGUCGUCAAGAGAGCU
Callipepla squamata (scaled quail) is the source of this 46-nucleotide non-coding RNA. The record is from Rfam. NCBI's taxonomy places the organism in Eukaryota, Metazoa, Chordata, Aves, Galliformes, Odontophoridae.